RNAcentral lists this ribosomal RNA (303 nucleotides) under uncultured bacterium. RNAcentral describes it as "partial 16S ribosomal RNA". It matches the Rfam family "Bacterial small subunit ribosomal RNA", at positions 507 to 807 of the family's 1533-position model. The record is from RNAcentral.
AGCAGUAGCCGCGGUAAUACGUAGGGUGCGAGCGUUAAUCGGAAUUACUGGGCGUAAAGCGUGCGCAGGCGGUUCGUUAAGACAGAUGUGAAAUCCCCGGGCUUAACCUGGGAACUGCAUUUGUGACUGGCGAGCUAGAGUAUGGCAGAGGGGGGUAGAAUUCCACGUGUAGCAGUGAAAUGCGUAGAGAUGUGGAGGAAUACCGAUGGCGAAGGCAGCCCACUGGACCAUUUCUGACGCUGAUGCACGAAAGCUAGGGGAGCAAACAGGAUUAGAUACCCCGGUAGUCCCUGUCUCUUAUAC